AAGCCGCGGCCCCCUUUUCCCCUGAAACCCUAUCUCUUCUUCCCUUCCACCAUCCGCCACCGCCGACCUUCGAUUCACCGCCUACGGUGGGCCCCUCCUCGAUUCCUUGCGCGGGGAGCAUCUCCUCCCUCCCCUCGACUGAUUCCGGCUUUAAUCCCGUCGUUUCCCUUGCCGUGCAGGGCUUCCCGGCGGAGCUCUCCCGUCGGCGCCGCUUGUCCUCGUUGCGCCGCGCCCUCUGCCGCCGUUCCCUACAGCCUGUGUCGCCGUGACCGAAACGCCGGAGAGCAAGCCCGUUGAGCCCGCCAAAGUUGCCGAACUCGGACCCGGAAUCGAGUACGUGGUUGAACUCGAGGAAAGCCAAGACAAACAGCUAUGCAUUUAUUCCUUGCACCUAUUUAACUUGAUUUAAUUUAGUUAUCUCAAUUGGAUAUUUAUGGGUUAUGUAUAUUAUGUUAUUUAUUGCAUUUUUGUAUCUAUUUCUAUGCAUUGCCCUUCCUUGAAUAUUGUUUAGCCUUAUCCUUGAUACUUGUAGUUGUUUAGAGUACUUAACUUGUCUAGAUGCUUAACUGCACAGAGUUUUAUGUCCCUUGAUAGGAGAAAAUGGUUUUAGAGUCAUCACACUUACCCGACGAUGCUUGUUUCGCACUUGUUCGGUAAUUGUUUGAUGGAAGAAUAGUCUCGUGAUCCGGGCAGAAGGAUAGGGCCUAGAGAAGAAAGUCACGGACCGCUCGGGUCGUUUAUGGACCGUCCAUGGAUGACGGCGGUUUUGAGCAACUUAUCGUGCUCUCACAUAUCCGAAAUAAUGGAAAGGAUGAGCCAAAUACCUUCCAGAAUUGGUCUUUGAUGCAUGGUCCUAGAUACGUGGCCAAGGGUGCUAUUUAGAGAGGCUUAGUGAUGACCCCGGUGGACCUAUGUGACUCUCUGCGUAAAUUAGGCGUGGUGUUCAAGGGUUGAGCCUUGUUGGGAACGGUUGACGCGAGUACCCCUCUUAUCCAACGUGAUCGGUUGGGUGAGCCGCAUGGUCCUUGCGUCGUGUGGGUAAAGUAGUCCACCCUUGCAAGGUUUAAAUCAAUUCGAAUUGCCGCGCUCUCGGUUUUAAGCAAGCUCUCUAUCCCAUGAAAUCUUCAUAGAAAGUUUUUAUGAUUCAUGGCACUUAUAUGGUUAUUUACUUGUCUUCUUAUAAUAAACUAAAAUUGGUGUUGUGGGUUGGGCAAGAAUAAUUAAUUUCUAUCCCAUGAAUUCUUCGUAGAAAGUUUCGGUUAUGGUGAUUUAUGAUUCAUGGCACUUGUAUGGUUAUUUACUUGUCUUCUUAUAAUGAACUAAAAUUGGUGUUGUGGGUUGGACAAGAAUAAUUAAUUUGCUAGGAAACUAGAUGAUAGUGUAGAGAGCUCAUGCUUGCGCAAUAAUAACUUAACCUUAAAGCCUCAUCUUAAGUCUCUUGCAUGAUCCUUGUUUAUAUAUUUGCGUAAGAUUUGCGAGUACCUUUUGUACUCAUGUUGUUUUUUAAACUAAGUUGCAAGUGAGCCGGAAGUCAUUUUUGGCCAUUUCUAUCCCGCCGACCCCAGAGAGGAGUUGGCCUUUGUGGUUGCGAUGGCGCCCAUGAGCAAGAUGCUAUUGCUUUAUUGCGACUUUAUCAUUUUAUCUGCUGUGCAGUGGUUUUUUUGGGGAGAACAUGACAAGACACUAAACUUUAUUUUCAUGUCUCUUAUUUACCACUCUUGAAUCAAGGUUUGUAUGAAAUUGUUGAACCAUUUUAUUUCAGAUUUGGACCUCCCAUGAUGAACUUGUAAUAAUUAAUUUGUUGUACUCUUUUAUGCUUAAAAUUUCUUUUUGUGGUUCAUUGGUGAUA
Molecule: long non-coding RNA, 1849 nt
Organism: Panicum virgatum (switchgrass)
Lineage: Eukaryota; Viridiplantae; Streptophyta; Magnoliopsida; Poales; Poaceae
Exons: 2
Source: RefSeq, a predicted model, not a curated record